AUGAGGGUGGACAACAAGAUAUUCAUAACUUGGAACAUAAGGAGGUAGAAGAAAAACGGAGGAAGAAACUAAAGGCAUGGGAGGAGUUGAGCAUUAAAAACCCGAUGGUUUUAGAGUUGUGUGGAGUCGUUUUCCCUGUAAAUCCAAGAUCUGUGUGGAGAGGACCCCAUUCAUUGCUUCCGCAGCACCGAGCUUCUCGAACUAGCGCCAUUCACAUGGCCAUAGAAGAGUUAAUGAAGUAGUAGCUAAAUUAUUGUAUUACUUGCAGAUAGG
Molecule: unclassified non-coding RNA, 273 nt
Filed under: Hevea brasiliensis (rubber tree)
Lineage: Eukaryota; Viridiplantae; Streptophyta; Magnoliopsida; Malpighiales; Euphorbiaceae
Source: RNAcentral